CUACCAAUAUGACUUUAAUAGGUCCCUCUGCAUGGCAUGGACGGCAGAAUACCCUCUCUUAGUUGAAAAUGUUAAGCCACCAGAUGGAAUCACAGUCUAUAGAGGUAAUUACACUUGUUAUGCCAUGUAUGACGGGAUUGGUAAAUUCAUGGGUAAUUUUUCUAAAGGUUAUUGUGCCACUUACAGAACUGUUCCUAUACGCCUGUUGCAACACCAUACCAGGUCAUUGGGGGAUAUUUACUGGUUAUGUGGGGAUCUACAGUUAAGAUCUAGGCUGGAAACUGAGUGGUGGGGUGAGUGUACCCUAGCCAAAGUUAUCAUGCCC
Molecule: long non-coding RNA, 325 nt
Filed under: Pelobates cultripes (western spadefoot toad)
Lineage: Eukaryota; Metazoa; Chordata; Amphibia; Anura; Pelobatidae
Source: RNAcentral